RNAcentral lists this ribosomal RNA (761 nucleotides) under uncultured bacterium. RNAcentral's name for it is "bacterial SSU rRNA". It matches the Rfam family "Bacterial small subunit ribosomal RNA", at positions 548 to 1310 of the family's 1533-position model. The record is from RNAcentral.
GAUUUAUUGGGCGUAAAGGGAGCGCAGGCGNUCAGGAAAGUCUGGAGUAAAAGGCUAUGGCUCAACCAUAGUGUGCUCUGGAAACUGUCUGACUUGAGUGCAGAGGGGGAGAGUGGAAUUCCAUGUGUAGCGGUGAAAUGCGUAGAUAUAUGGAGGAACACCAGUGGCGAAAGCGGCUCUCUGGUCUGUCACUGACGCUGAGGCUCGAAAGCGUGGGUAGCGAACAGGAUUAGAUACCCUGGUAGUCCACGCCGUAAACGAUGAGUGCUAGGUGUUAGGCCCUUUCCGGGGCUUAGUGCCGGAGCUAACGCAAUAAGCACUCCGCCUGGGGAGUACGACCGCAAGGUUGAAACUCAAAGGAAUUGACGGGGGCCCGCACAAGCGGUGGAGCAUGUGGUUUAAUUCGAAGCAACGCGAAGAACCUUACCAGGUCUUGACAUCCCGAUGCUAUUCUUAGAGAUAGGAAGUCACUUCGGUACAUCGGAGACAGGUGGUGCAUGGUUGUCGUCAGCUCGUGUCGUGAGAUGUUGGGUUAAGUCCCGCAACGAGCGCAACCCUUAUUGUUAGUUGCCAUCAUUAAGUUGGGCACUCUAGCGAGACUGCCGGUAAUAAACCGGAGGAAGGAGGGGAUGACGUCAAAUCAUCAUGCCCCUUAUGACCUGGGCUACACACGUGCUACAAUGGUCGGUACGACGAGUUGCGAGCCGGUGACGGCAAGCUGAUCUCUGAAAGCCGAUCUCAGUUCGGAUUGGAGGCUGCAA